This 312-nucleotide ribosomal RNA is filed under the name uncultured Ehrlichia sp. Its description in RNAcentral is "bacterial SSU rRNA". It matches the Rfam family "Bacterial small subunit ribosomal RNA", at positions 128 to 456 of the family's 1533-position model. The record is from RNAcentral. Lineage: Bacteria; Pseudomonadati; Pseudomonadota; Alphaproteobacteria; Rickettsiales; Anaplasmataceae.
ACCUAGUAGUACGGAAUAGCCAUUAGAAAUGGUGGGUAAUACUGUAUAAUCCCCGAGGGGGAAAGAUUUAUCGCUAUUAGAUGAGCCUACGUUAGAUUAGCUAGUUGGUGAGGUAAUGGCUUACCAAGGCUAUGAUCUAUAGCUGGUCUGAGAGGACGAUCAGCCACACUGGAACUGAGAUACGGUCCAGACUCCUACGGGAGGCAGCAGUGGGGAAUAUUGGACAAUGGGCGAAAGCCUGAUCCAGCUAUGCCGCGUGAGUGAAGAAGGCCUUCGGGUUGUAAAACUCUUUCAAUAGGGAAGAUAAUGACG